RNAcentral lists this ribosomal RNA (253 nucleotides) under uncultured bacterium. RNAcentral's name for it is "partial 16S ribosomal RNA". It matches the Rfam family "Bacterial small subunit ribosomal RNA", at positions 524 to 776 of the family's 1533-position model. The record is from RNAcentral.
UACGUAGGGUGCGAGCGUUGUUCGGAUUCAUUGGGCGUAAAGGGUGCGUAGGCGGCGGGGUAAGUCUGAUGUGAAAGGCUGGGGCUCAACCUCAGUAUGGCAUUGGAUACUGCCUUGCUAGAGUCCUGGAGAGGAGACUGGAAUUUACGGUGUAGCAGUGAAAUGCGUAGAGAUCGUAAGGAAGACCAGUGGCGAAGGCGAGUCUCUGGACAGGAACUGACGCUGAGGCACGAAGGCCAGGGGAGCAAACGGG